RNAcentral lists this transfer RNA (108 nucleotides) under Zymoseptoria tritici IPO323. RNAcentral describes it as "Zymoseptoria tritici tRNA-Undet for anticodon ???". It matches the Rfam family "tRNA". From Rfam's summary of the family: Transfer RNA (tRNA) molecules are approximately 80 nucleotides in length. The record is from Rfam by way of RNAcentral. RNAcentral also lists the same sequence under 1 other name. Lineage: Eukaryota; Fungi; Ascomycota; Dothideomycetes; Mycosphaerellales; Mycosphaerellaceae.
GGGGAUGUGGUCUAAUGGUAAGAUUCUGUUUCGAGUGUACGGUGCCGAUGGCAGAGCUCAACCCACUGCGCGGAUUCAGAGACGUCGGUUCGAUCCCGGACUUCUCCA